Triticum aestivum (bread wheat) is the source of this 2068-nucleotide long non-coding RNA. RefSeq lists it as uncharacterized. Lineage: Eukaryota; Viridiplantae; Streptophyta; Magnoliopsida; Poales; Poaceae. The transcript has 4 exons. The record is from RefSeq and is a predicted model, not a curated record.
GGUACAGGAUAUUGAUGUACCAUUGGUACAGAUGCGAUGGAAUUGUACGUGACGACGUUCUUAUCCUAUCUGUUCCCCUCCCCACCUUGCUCGCCGCCGCACAAAUCGACACCAUAGCCACCGCAAACCAUGCGCCAUAUCCGGCCACCGCAGUGCAGCUGCGUGCCAUCGCCUUCGUACAACAUCUCCCGCCCGACGACCAUUGCCUCCGCCGCGCGGCAAGAAGCCACACAGUUCCCGCGGCGGCCUCGCGGGGAGGAGCACGACAGGCCCUGGCGGCGGCCUCGUGUGCGGGGCAGGGCACCACGCCAAGGAGAGCGGUCUCGCCCUCCACGGGAUCCCGAUGCGGGGUGGAGUCGCGGUGGAGGUGCUGCUCGUGGGGGGAACGAUGGCCUGCCUCGCGCGAUUGCGGUGGUGAGGAUGUGGGAUGGCUGCGGCGGGCGGCUAUGGAAGCUGCCGAGUCGCGGCACCAGAGGCGGAGGGAGCGGCUAGUGAUGGGGGCGAGGGCUGGGUGCUCUCCUCGUCUCACGCGGUCGCCGAGGGAAGCCGGCGGCUACUUCUGUUUCCGUUGGCAGCCGCUCCCGCUUCUAAUCUGAGUGGAUCCUGCUCCCGCUCGCCCCUGGUCAACCUCCUGCAUCGGUGCACCCCUGUCGCCUCCGUCGACUCCACCCGUGGGUUGAGGAGAUGGCUGAAUCGGCCGCCGUGGCGUGCAAGCUGCGGCGGGGAGGUGUUCAUCUACUCUUUUUUGUCACUGGAAUAAGGCAAUGACGUUUUUGGGCUUCCCUCAUUUUUGGGCUGGUCCGCCGGAGGGGAAGAGCCAGAUCGUUGUCCCUGCUAGCGACAAGUUUAUCUGACGUGGGAUGGUUCGGGCUAGAGGGGUACUUCUACCGAACGAGUUCGUUCGUUCCAGCGACUCUCCCAGCACGAACGACUCGUUCGGGCUGGGGUGUCCCCAGGCCGAUCGUUCGGCAGUUAUCGAUGUUCAAGAUCAUGGCUAUGGAGAUUAGGAUCACCAGAGACGAGGAAUUGGAGUUCUUAUCGGAUCUAGUUGACAGAUUUCCCCUGCCGGAUCUGGCCGGCGGCGAGCUGCCGAUAGAGCACGGCAGAAGCUAGGCUAUAAUAUGUGGACCUGUGGACUCAAGCAUUGGCGAAGCAGGAGAUGCCAUGGCAGUAGUGGAAACAGAUUUGAACAACACUUGUCAGGGGGUUGCCCUGUCGGCGCCGGCGUCCGAGCAAUCUACAGGGAAGGACGACCCUGAAGCCCCUGGCUGGACGCGAAGAAUCCGUGUUGGGCGUGUGCCUGAUGAAUGGCCCCCAUGUGCUGCCAGGAUGAGUGCAUUGGAGCUAACAAUACGAAGCUAUGCAGAGAAAAAAACUGAAACUGUGAUAGUUCCUGCUAUGGGAGCCAGUUUCGAUACGCUGGGGAAGCUUAUGACUACUACAAUCUAUAUUCAUGGGAGGUUGGGUUCAGAGUGAGAUACGGCAAGAGCCAUCUAAAUGUUGAGAGAACAAAAUGCAUGCAGGAGAUAGUUUGCACACACAAAAUGCAUGCAGGAUACGGUAAAAGAAAUUGUUCCAGCAAUUGCACCCGCAAGCGGGAACGUUAGUGAUGCAGAAGGCAGUGCUAUCGGGGAUUUCAUAGGACUGAAACCACCUGAGUGGAAAAGGAAAGCCGCGCGACCAACAAAUAGCAGAGAUAAGCCUCUGUAUGAUGACCGAGGUGCAAAAAGCAAAAGGAUGAAGCAACGCACAGCUGCUGAAGAUGUCGAUAGGUGUGGCACGAGCAAACGCACUCACUUCUGCAGCAUAUGUCGAGAACCUGGUCACAAGAGCACAACUUGUCCGCGACGAGGAGGUCUUGCACCAAAGGAAAGGAACGAGGCUAAAUGCUCUAUAUGUGGUGUCGGUGGCCACAGGAGAAACACCUGCAACAAGCCAAAGGUUGUUCUAUAUGUUGCUGGGACAACUAAUGUGGACGCGAAUGCACUCACCAGUCUGAUUUGAGAUCGUCUGUUCAAUCUGUGUAAUAAACCUGUUCUUGAGGGCUCCGCAGCCGAUAAUUGAUAAA